RNAcentral lists this ribosomal RNA (468 nucleotides) under uncultured bacterium. Its description in RNAcentral is "partial 16S ribosomal RNA". It matches the Rfam family "Bacterial small subunit ribosomal RNA", at positions 28 to 507 of the family's 1533-position model. The record is from RNAcentral.
GACGAACGCUGGCGGCGUGCUUAACACAUGCAAGUCGAACGGAAAGGCCCUGCUUUUGUGGGGUGCUCGAGUGGCGAACGGGUGAGUAACACGUGAGUAACCUGCCCUUGACUUUGGGAUAACUUCAGGAAACUGGGGCUAAUACCGGAUAGGAGCUCCUGCUGCAUGGUGGGGGUUGGAAAGUUUCGGCGGUUGGGGAUGGACUCGCGGCUUAUCAGCUUGUUGGUGGGGUAGUGGCUUACCAAGGCUUUGACGGGUAGCCGGCCUGAGAGGGUGACCGGCCACAAUGGGACUGAGAGACGGGCCCGAAUUCUACGGGAGGCAGCAGUGGGGAAUAUUGCACAAUGGGCGGAAGCCUGAUGCAGCAACGCCGCGUGCGGGAUGACGGCCUUCGGGUUGUAAACCGCUUUCGCCUGUGACGAAGCGUGAGUGACGGUAAUGGGUAAAGAAGCACCGGCUAACUACGUG